GCCCGGCUAGCGCAAUGGUAGCGCGCAAGACUUCUACUUUGGGUAAUAAAUGGUCCUAAAUAAUUAUCUUGAGGUUGCCAGUUCGACCCUGGCGUUGGGCU
Molecule: transfer RNA, 101 nt
Filed under: Penicillium polonicum
Lineage: Eukaryota; Fungi; Ascomycota; Eurotiomycetes; Eurotiales; Aspergillaceae
Rfam family: tRNA
About the family: Transfer RNA (tRNA) molecules are approximately 80 nucleotides in length. Their secondary structure includes four short double-helical elements and three loops (D, anti-codon, and T loops). Further hydrogen bonds mediate the characteristic L-shaped molecular structure. tRNAs have two regions of fundamental functional importance: the anti-codon, which is responsible for specific mRNA codon recognition, and the 3' end, to which the tRNAs corresponding amino acid is attached (by aminoacyl-tRNA synthetases). tRNAs cope with the degeneracy of the genetic code in two manners: having more than one tRNA (with a specific anti-codon) for a particular amino acid; and 'wobble' base-pairing, i.e. permitting non-standard base-pairing at the 3rd anti-codon position.
Source: Rfam by way of RNAcentral